CCUACGGGAGGCUGCAGUGGGGAAUUUUGGACAAUGGGCGCAAGCCUGAUCCAGCCAUUCCGCGUGCAGGAUGAAGGCCCUCGGGUUGUAAACUGCUUUUGUACGGAACGAAAAGCCUUCUUCUAAUACAGGAGGGUCAUGACGGUACCGUAAGAAUAAGCACCGGCUAACUACGUGCCAGCAGCCGCGGUAAUACGUAGGGUGCAAGCGUUAAUCGGAAUUACUGGGCGUAAAGCGUGCGCAGGCGGUUAUGUAAGACAGAUGUGAAAUCCCCG
This 275-nucleotide ribosomal RNA is filed under the name uncultured bacterium. RNAcentral's name for it is "partial 16S ribosomal RNA". It matches the Rfam family "Bacterial small subunit ribosomal RNA", at positions 338 to 605 of the family's 1533-position model. The record is from RNAcentral.